Molecule: ribosomal RNA, 184 nt
Filed under: uncultured bacterium
Lineage: Bacteria
Description: partial 16S ribosomal RNA
Rfam family: Bacterial small subunit ribosomal RNA
Source: RNAcentral
CUGCAUGAAGUCGGAAUUGCUAGUAAUCGCGGAUCAGCAUGCCGCGGUGAAUACGUUCCCGGGCCUUGUACACACCGCCCGUCACACCAUGGGAGCCGGUAAUACCCGAAGUCAGUAGUCCAACCUCGUGAGGACGCUGCCGAAGGUAGGAUUGGCGACUGGGGUGAAGUCGUAACAAGGUAUC